CUGACUCUGCUGAUUUGCAUCACGGGCCGCUCUCUCAGCAAGGGGAUAAGAGAGGCCUGGGAGGAACCUGCCCAGCCUGGGCCUCAGGAAGCAGCAUCGGGGGAGCCUCAGCCAUGGCCUGGACCCCUCUCCUCCUCGGCCUCCUCGCUCACUGCACAGGCUCUGCGACCUCCUAUGAGCUGACUCAGCCACACUCGGUGUCAGUGGCCCCAGGACAGACGGCCAGUAUUACCUGUGGGGGAAACAACAUUGGAAGUGAAUAUGUGCACUGGUACCAGCAGAAAUCAGGCCAGGCCCCAGUGCUGGUCAUCUAUAGGAAUAGCAACAGGCCCUCAGGGAUCCCUGAGCGAUUCUCUGGCUCCAACUCUGGGAACACCGCCACCCUGACCAUCAGCGGGGUCGAGGCCGGGGAUGAGGCUGACUAUUACUGUGAGGUGUGGGACGGUAGUGGUAAACAUCCCACAGUGACCCAGGCAGAUGGGGAAAGGUCCUGGGCCCCAGGCUGCAUGGCGGCCUGUGACUCCCAACAGAGCAAACCAGAGGAGGGGACACUGUGA
Non-coding RNA from Cebus imitator (Panamanian white-faced capuchin), 557 nucleotides. The record is from the annotation of a RefSeq genome assembly. NCBI's taxonomy places the organism in Eukaryota, Metazoa, Chordata, Mammalia, Primates, Cebidae.